CCCGGUCCCAAACUUGCUCAGACACAGAUUGCAGUCUUUCUUCAUCAUUUGGUUGUGGGAUACAAGUGGGAAAUAAUCAAUCCAGACGAGAAGAUAAUCUAUACAUCUCAACCAGUCCUAAAUGGUGGAGGCAAAAUUGCAAUUACUGCAAUUUAGUUCUUUAAAUAUAUGUUUUCUUGUGGAGUCUAAUAAAUAAACUGGAUAUUCAGUCUAGUAUGUUUAUUGUAACUUGUGAGCUCUUUAUGUACUUAAAUAAGACAAGUAGAUUAGAAGAAAGAAAUAUUUGUCUGUGUCCAA
This is a non-coding RNA of Carica papaya (papaya), 297 nucleotides long. Lineage: Eukaryota; Viridiplantae; Streptophyta; Magnoliopsida; Brassicales; Caricaceae. The record is from RefSeq and is a predicted model, not a curated record.